This 460-nucleotide ribosomal RNA is filed under the name uncultured Chitinophagaceae bacterium. RNAcentral describes it as "partial 16S ribosomal RNA". Lineage: Bacteria; Pseudomonadati; Bacteroidota; Chitinophagia; Chitinophagales; Chitinophagaceae. The record is from RNAcentral.
GACUACUGGGGUAUCUAAUCCUGUUUGAUCCCCACGCUUUCGUGCCUCAGUGUCAAUAUAUGCGUAGCCAGCUGCCUUCGCAAUUGGUGUUCUAUGUCAUAUCUAAGCAUUUCACCGCUACAUGACAUAUUCCGCUGACCUCCACAAUAUUCAAGACUGAUAGUAUCAAUGGCAGUUUCCAAGUUAAGCUCGGAGAUUUCACCACUGACUUACCAACCCACCUACGCACCCUUUAAACCCAGUGAAUCCGGAUAACGCUUGCACCCUCCGUAUUACCGCGGCUGCUGGCACGGAGUUAGCCGGUGCUUAUUCAUAUGGUACCGUCAGGUGAUCUAGAAAGAUCUUUUUUCGUCCCAUAUAAAAGAAGUUUACAACCCAGAGGGCAUUCAUCCUUCACGCGGCAUGGCUGGUUCAGACUUUCGUCCAUUGACCAAUAUUCCUUACUGCAGCCCCCCGUAGG